CAAAAUAUGUGUUAUCCAGAUUCUUCAAUUCUGCAUUUCUUCUACAAUUUUCUUCUGCAUUUUAAAGUAUUUGUAAACGUAGAGGAUAUUAGAAAUCUUUGCAUACCAUUUUCAAGAUGGUAAUGUAAGGGCCAGAAACAAAAAAUAAACUUCAAGAAUCAGCACUUGAAAAGGAAGCCAAAUGAUAUUCUAUGAAAAUAGGUUUAAAAACCUAAGGAAAAACACAACAAUUAAGUCCAGGAGUAUGUUAAAAAUAAUCAAACUGAGCUUACCUAAGGGUUGGAUCAACAUAAAGGAAUUUAUUAGUAAAAUGCACCAAAUGGUAAGAUUUCUAAGAUCAUAUUAAUAGAUGUUGGAAGAGCAGUUGAUAAAAUUCAACAUGAAUUCUGUAUAAAAAGAAUUUUUAGUAAAAGGAGACUUUUUAUCUCAUGGCACAUCAAGUUUAAAGUGAUGCACCAGAUCCUGCAGAAGAGCAGCACUUCCGUGAGAAUAAGGAAGACAACAACGGUCCAUGUUAUGCCACCAUUGCGAUUCUGAUAGCGCUGCUCUAAUGAGACAAAACAACAGCAUCACGCAAGAACACACAAGAAGAUCCAAGGCUGAGGCAGGCAACGAGGUGGAAUCUGGGACUGAAUUCAGGAAGAGGUGGCGUGGUAGAGAGGAAAGCCCUGACAUCAACCUGCCUGGGGGGCUUCUGUUGACAUCGAUAGAAUGCCCACUAGGGGAGACUCUGUUCCGCUCAUUAUGGUAA
This 751-nucleotide long non-coding RNA is filed under the name Ursus maritimus (polar bear). RNAcentral describes it as "lncRNA (ENSUMAG00000008692.1)". The record is from RNAcentral. Lineage: Eukaryota; Metazoa; Chordata; Mammalia; Carnivora; Ursidae.